AGACUAACUCAUGCAUGUCUAAGUAUAAGUUUUAUACGGCGAAACUGCGGAUGGCUCAUUGAAACAGUUAUAGUUUACUUGAUAAUCAAAUUUACAUGGAUACCCGUGGUAAUUCUAGAGCUAAUACAUGCUGUUAUGCCCGACUUACGAAGGGCGGUAUUUAUUAGAUAACAACCAAUAUUCUUCGUGUCUAUUGAGGUGAUUCAUAAUAACCGAACGAAUCGCAUGGCUAUGCCGGCGAUAGACCAUUCAAGUUUCUGACCUAUCAGCUAUCGUCGGUAGGGCAUUGGCCUACCGUGGCAAUGACGGGUAACGGAGAAUUAGGGUUCGAUUCCGGAGAGGGAGCCUGAGAAACGGCUACCACAUCUAAGGAAGGCAGCAGGCGCGCAAAUUACCCAAUCCUGACGCAGGGAGGUAGUGACAAGAAAUAACAAUACAGGGCAUACAUGUCUUGUAAUUGGAAUGAGUAAACUUUAAAUCACUUUACGAGUAUCAAUUGGAGGGCAAGUCUGGU
Molecule: ribosomal RNA, 514 nt
Filed under: uncultured marine eukaryote
Lineage: Eukaryota
Description: bacterial SSU rRNA
Rfam family: Eukaryotic small subunit ribosomal RNA
Source: RNAcentral